GUCUACAACCAUACCACCCUGAACAGGCCAAUCUAGUCUGAUCUCGGAAGCUAAGCAAGGUCGGGCCUGGUUAGUACUUGAAUGAGAGACCACCUAGGAAUAUCAGGUGCUGUAGGCG
RNAcentral lists this ribosomal RNA (118 nucleotides) under Pteropus alecto (black flying fox). The record is from RNAcentral. Lineage: Eukaryota; Metazoa; Chordata; Mammalia; Chiroptera; Pteropodidae.